ACAGUAUUGAAGAAAGAGGACAAAGUUUUGCUUCGAAGCUGCUGCCGAAAAUCAGURAAGUUCUUGUUAUUUUAGGAGUAAGGAUGGAUAAAAAAAGUGCUAUUCUGUUGUUUCUGGUGUCUGUCUUGUGUCUUCAUUCAGUGAUKUCACUGUCAUGCUACAAGUAUUACAAAACAAGCAUAAACCCAGA
Molecule: long non-coding RNA, 190 nt
Organism: Exaiptasia diaphana
Lineage: Eukaryota; Metazoa; Cnidaria; Anthozoa; Actiniaria; Aiptasiidae
Exons: 3
Source: RefSeq, a predicted model, not a curated record